GGAGGGCUCGCAUAGCUGGCCUAGUGCAGUCGCCUUGAAAGCGACCAGACGCUCAUCACGUCUCGUGGGUUCGAAUCCCACGCCCUCCG
RNAcentral lists this transfer RNA (89 nucleotides) under Actinomycetota bacterium. RNAcentral's name for it is "tRNA-Ser". It matches the Rfam family "tRNA". From Rfam's summary of the family: Transfer RNA (tRNA) molecules are approximately 80 nucleotides in length. Their secondary structure includes four short double-helical elements and three loops (D, anti-codon, and T loops). Further hydrogen bonds mediate the characteristic L-shaped molecular structure. tRNAs have two regions of fundamental functional importance: the anti-codon, which is responsible for specific mRNA codon recognition, and the 3' end, to which the tRNAs corresponding amino acid is attached (by aminoacyl-tRNA synthetases). tRNAs cope with the degeneracy of the genetic code in two manners: having more than one tRNA (with a specific anti-codon) for a particular amino acid; and 'wobble' base-pairing, i.e. permitting non-standard base-pairing at the 3rd anti-codon position. Lineage: Bacteria; Bacillati; Actinomycetota. The record is from RNAcentral.